GUCGCUGGUGCGCUGUAAUUCCCAUCCAGAAUUGCGCAAUAGACAUGUUUGUCCCUUACAGGACACCGUAGUCAAAAGUUACGUGGGGACGCCAUCUUUUUUCCUGUUUACUUUUCUUUAUUACUUCGUAAGGUUGUGGACGAACAAGUGAGAUGAGCAGCAGAUGUUGUGGACAAAUAAAGUCUUCCCGGUCUCAACCACAAUCA
Sebastes umbrosus (honeycomb rockfish) is the source of this 206-nucleotide long non-coding RNA. RefSeq lists it as uncharacterized. NCBI's taxonomy places the organism in Eukaryota, Metazoa, Chordata, Actinopteri, Perciformes, Sebastidae. The transcript is spliced from 2 exons. The record is from RefSeq and is a predicted model, not a curated record.